Phascolarctos cinereus (koala) is the source of this 463-nucleotide non-coding RNA. The record is from RefSeq and is a predicted model, not a curated record. NCBI's taxonomy places the organism in Eukaryota, Metazoa, Chordata, Mammalia, Diprotodontia, Phascolarctidae.
GAAACCUAAAUCUAUGCAUGGCAAGUGAACAAUCUGUCAUCAGAGGAAAAGCAUGAUGAUUCAACUUGCUAAAGGUCAGGAAGGACAAGGACAAAGGACUGUGGGGGAGAGAGAAGGAGCUGACCAGAGAAGAUCCCUGUUUUCCUGGAACUCCUAGGUUGAUGGACCCAGACUGGAUGGAGAGGGCGGAGGAGAAGAGCGAGGGUCGCUUUGCCCUUUUAAAGAGCCAGAUCCAUGUGGUGCUAGAAGGAGGAGAGCAGGGGGAGAUCAUUGAUUGGUUCCCGUCAGGAAGUUCCUAGAGAUCACAGGCUCAGUCACGGGGCAGCUGAUGUUUAAUCUUCAUAAUCACCGUUGAAAGAAAAAUUAGACAUCUGCCGUCAGGGAAACUGGAAAGUCAAUUAAGCACUAAUCAGGAACAGUGGGAAAGGAACAGGCCUGUCCCCUUGUCUCUAUCAACCUGAAA